Molecule: long non-coding RNA, 25115 nt
Filed under: Glycine max (soybean)
Lineage: Eukaryota; Viridiplantae; Streptophyta; Magnoliopsida; Fabales; Fabaceae
Description: long non-coding RNA (GMAX_LNC004079)
Source: RNAcentral
GGACUCUCAAUGUUCUGAAAUCGUGUGUAAACUUGCCGACGCUGGAACGCGUUGUUUUAACCUCUUCUGUUGCUGCAGUUGCGAACAACGGAAAGCCUCUAACUCCCUAUGUAGUAGUUGAUGAGACUUGGUUUUCCGACCCAGAUUUGUGUAGGGAAGCAAAGGUAUUCUGAUAAACUUUCACUUUAGUCCAAGGUUUUUUAAAUUAAUAUUGCGAAAUAUUGUGGACAGAUGCAACUAAACAAGGUGGCUCAGACAGUUAGAGAGUAGUGUAAGGCACAUAGCAGAGUGUGUGGAAUUGAGAGAGAUGUUGAAUAUGAUGAAAAUGACAAAACAUCUUCUAGCUAUCUCUGUUUUUUGGUUUUUGGAAUAGAAACAGUUUUCAAAACUUAUUUUGAGUGAGAAAUUGAUUUCUGAGAAGUAUAAAAUUGCUAUAGGAAACAGUUUUUAAAACCAAAAAAUGAGAAGGGAAUCAAACAGGCCUAUAUUCUUUUGCUUGGUCUACUUAUAAGCUAAGGAACCAUUACCAUGAACUUGCAACAGAAGACUCUAUUCCUUGCUUUUCUAAGCUCCUAAGCUAAGAGUUGUAGAAGCAUUGAAGUUGAUCUAAAUCUCCUGCUUACCUUUUUCAUUCCUUGGAAAGUUUGCAUGCAUAUCUCUUUUCUGUUCAUUAUUCAGAAUCAGGAAUUGGGAUAUAUGCUUUCUAUCUGAAAGGUCAAUAAUGCAACUUUCCUUGCUACUAUUAGCUUCAAACAUGUAAACAUGUUUUUGUUGAUUAUUUGAUUUGAUCAUGAAUGUGAGUCGAAUGGAUUUCAUGCACAGGGGAUGCUUCUGCUCUAUUAAAUGAUGGUAAGUGUGUAAACUAUAUGACAUUGACAAAAGAUGUUAGAAAAGUAAUAUCUCAGUAUUUUUUGUGAGACUCAUUAUCAUAGAAAAAAUGUAACAAACUGUUUUUAGAUAUUUUCUUGAAAGAUUCAUUAUCUUGUUCUCAUUUUCUGUUUUUUAUUUGAAUAAAGAGAUAAAAUACUUUCAUUGUAAAAUGAUGUCUCUUGAUUUUUUUGUCACUCAUUGUUGUAGGAAGAAGGUGAAUAUAUUGAUUACCAAUUUAGAUUUUUUGUUAUUUUGUUCAUAUUUAAUUUCAUUUGAGUCUCUCUCUCUCUCUCUAAUAUAUGUGUGUUGGGGGAGGGGAUGUGCCAGUGUACUAUACUUGGACUUUAACUGUGUUGGAGUAUUCAUGUUUGUCUCAUGUCCAGUAUUGGUGUUAAAGUCCCUGCCUCAUAGGGCAUUACUUCCCCAAUGAAACAUAGAAAAAAUGGUAAAACUUUGAGAUUCUGGAGUUCAUCUUGGACAUAAAUAUUAGAAACAGAUGAAGUUAACGUGGGUGGCCUUAAUCUAUGUCAGAAGUAGGCUGGAAUUGGUAACUAAAUCUUGUGGUUGUUUUUGCAUUGCCUUAUGGUUUCAAUUUUUAAUCGUAAAAAGAGUGGUAGAUAUGACUGUUGGAAAUUAUAGGUGCUACCAUUGCUGGUGGUAAGCUUAUCACUUUAAGGCUUCAUUGAUUAGUGUGGAACGAGAAUAUGUUUUAACUUUUAAGAGAGCUAAAGUAAAUUGCUUGCUUUGAUAUCCAAAGGACAAAAUUAAGUUCGCAAAGUUCAAUGGAUGUAUCUUUCCAUUGUUAUUUUGACAAAAGACAAUUUAAAAGGGAGGAAAAGCAUACCAGGAUAGGCAUGAUGAUUUCUUCCCAAACAAACAAGCAGAUAAAUAUGUCUUUAAAGAAGAUUAUAAAUGAAAUAUUGCUCUUUACUUCCACUUAUGUGUGAGUCAAAUCCUUCAAAGAAACCAUUGGCUGAACACCAUCAAUAGUUUAUAUUCUUUGCUUUCCAAAGCAUCUAAGUGCACAAAUGCUGUUCACAAUAUAACUGAUAUUUCCCCUAUCAUGUUUUGAUGUUCUAGCCUUAUUGUAUGCUCACUAACAGUUUGCAAUUUAGAUGUGCUCUUAUAUUUGGGUCCUCUACAGGAUUCUGUAGUCUACUCAAAGCAUCAUUUUAAUGUCAUCUCUUGUGAAGAUUAGUUCAUAUGAUUAAAUUGUGUUGGUUGUAAUUUUUAUGCACCUGUUUUUUUUACUUAUUUUGUUGCGUAGAUGAGCCACUAAGCUGCUUCUCACAUUUUGUUAAUAUUAUAUGAGAACAGCUGCUAUUGAGCUAUAAUGCUGAUGUAUUUUUUUAAAUGUCAACAAAGUGUAACAAUUUAUCAUGUAUAUUAUGUUACUAUGUUCUUCACAUUUCUUGCCAUUACCUAUUUAUACUUCAGAGGUGGUAUACACUUUCAAAGACUUUGGCCGAAGAUGCUGCCUGGAAAUUCGUAAAAGAGAACAACAUUGACAUGGUUACUAUUAACCCAGCAAUGGUGAUAGGACCUCUCUUGCAACCAGUCCUUAACACAAGUGCUGCUUCAAUUUUAAACAUAAUUAAUGGUAAUUACUAUUUGUACAUUAUGCUGUAAAAUUUCUAUUAUCUGCUUUGUCUGUAUCUGGAUUACACAAUGUUCUUUUUUCAACUGAACUAUUUUGUGGAUCAAACAAAAUGAAAAGGUAAAUAGACAAUAUUGAAACGAAAAUUCAAAUAGAAUAUGAAAAGGAGGGUUAUAAUAAUAAUUAAUAAGUUCAAUCUGAAUGUACAAUUGUACCUUGAGAUAUUAGAUAUGGGCAUCUUAAUCAUGACAAUUAUUGUUGAGCUACAUAGUAUUACUAUGUUCCCUCUUUGUAGCUUAAUUAUUGUCUAAAGUCAGAAGUACUACUGGAAGGGAUUAUUAUUGUGGAAGAAUGAAGACAAGUAUGCUGAGUGAUUUGAAGAUGUUGUUGGGUGGGAUUAGUUGAAGAUGCAAAAUCCACUCUAUGGUUAUAGCCCAAAAAUGUGGGGAAAUGUGAUUUUUGUUGAAAGUAAUAGGUUUGUGGCUUUAUUUGGAUAAAUAGGUUACUAAAAGGAUUUAUGUAUUCUGCUGCAAUAACCCAUGAAGCUAUUCAGCGUCAUUGAAUCUACCAUCAGCAUAAUCCAUAACUCUGUUCAAAAUUUACAUGACAUGUUGAAGCAUGUGAGAAUUGACAAAUUUCAUCAGAUUAAAGAUUGAAAUGGGACAUUUACUUAUACCAUCUCCAAACCAAGUUGAAGGAAGCGUAGAUUCUUACAAAAGCUUUGCUGAAGUCAAACUUUAAUUCUAAUGUCAGCAACUCAGGAAUGGCUGAUUAAAUUAACUUGACAGGGUGCAUGGAAAAGUAAUCUAAAAAAUAGAGACAUACAAUAUCUCAUAAUCAUAGCAGUCAUAGUCUACUAUCUUUUUGAGUUAUAUAGUUGUUAUUUUAAUGAAUAUUAAUAAUUUCUACUUGCUUCCAAUAUACUUGAUUUUCCACUGUACAAAUCUUAGAUAAUUGAAGUAACAGUUCCAUCGCCUUGAUACAGGUGCAGAAACAUUUCCAAAUGCAUCUUAUGGUUGGGUCAAUGUGAAAGAUGUUGCAAAUGCCCAUAUUCUAGCAUAUGAGAAUGCUUCAGCUAAUGGAAGGUAUUGUUUGGUUGAGAGAGUGGCACACUACUCAGAAAUUGUGAAGGUUUUACCUGAUUUGUACCCGACAUUACAACUUCCAGAGAAGUAAGUAUAAUUAUUUUGAUAAUUUCAAGAAUGCAUACAAUUCAUAUACAUGAACGCAAAUCUCCAUCUGCUAUAGCCAGUUGUUUUAGUGUUUUAUUUACCUGUUUGAAAACAAAAUUUAGUGUUGAAAAUGAAGACAUGAAGCAUUGAUAUUAGUUGAAAGAAAGAAUUUAAAUUGGAAUACAUUAUUUGAUGAUAUACAAAACCUUUAGAUUAUAUAGGCUAAGACAACAUAACAGCCUUCCUAAACUAGACUAUAUAUGGGGUAACUACCCAUUUGUCUUAAUUUACAAUAUCAAUCUGUCAAAAUUUACAACAAUUACGAUAAAUUACUUUACAAUUGGUGUGGGACAAUUACUCCCCUUUUAGCUGUAGAUUGGAUAUCUUAUGGCUUGUUCGGACUUGAUGAACUUUUGCUACAUUUCAUAUGUUACUUAGCUCUCCUAAGACGUAGCUUGUAUUUAUUAGUGUAUGUAAUACUGAUACAUAUUCAACUCUUGGUGCAUAUUUGAGACACAUGGUUUCACCAUAGUUAUGAUAAUCUAAUGACUAACACCUCCCCACUAUUUUUACUUUUCCAGUAUAUAUUUAUAGUCAUGCUAACAUAUGCAGAACUUUUCAUUUGGAAUUAAUUACUGAAUCUUAUGUUCCUAAGAUAGGGCCAAGUAUAAAAACUUUGCAUGUAUAGGUCCUUCAAAUGUUAUUUUGUAUGCAAAAUAUUUAGGUUAUGGGUCCAACGUCACUCUUCAUUCGAUCUAAUUUUGUGUUUGCAUUUAUAUAUUAUAAAUAAUUCAAGUUUUUCUUGUUUUGAUUUUUCUAAUACCAUUUUCUCUCUGUCAACAAUAUUAUCAGGUGUGCAGAUGAUAAGCCAUAUGUGCCAAUAUAUCAGGUAUCCAAAGAAAAGGCAAAGAGCUUGGGGAUUGAAUAUACUCCUUUGGAAGUGAGCCUCAAGGAGACUGUGGAUAGCUUGAAAGAAAAGAAGUUUACCAACUUUUAAUUUGUGAUAUCUCCUAGAGGAGAAAACGUUAAUAAUAGAAACCUUGUGUGGUUGGUCACUUGGCUUGUGAUGCUCAUGCUUCUGAACAAACUUACUAUUAAAUAAGACUUAAAUCAAGAUUGGUAUAAGUACUGAAAGAAGCCAUUCUUGGUCUGAUUUGUACCGGUGACAAUUAAGUUUCAAACAUGCGUUUCCAAGUAAAGUUUGCAUUACAAAUUGUAUCCUCGUUUUUAUUAUAUUACUAGGAAAUGUCUGAUGCAACCAAUGUUGUUAAAUAACUGUUAUGGUUAGCGCCAUAACACUAUAAUGUGGCGAUUUUGGACCCCUUUGCAAUUCCCCAUUUGUUAUUUGUCGUUGUAUGGCCGGCUGCCAUAGUGCCUGCCUGCCACAACGCCCAUGACAAAAUUUCCCCUUCUUUUUUUUUAUCAUUUUUAAAAAACCCUUUUAAAGGUUGCUUCAUACUUAAAAGUUAAAACAUAUCAUACCCCAUUUCAAUGUGUAUUUGCUCUUUCUCUCUCAUUGGUCUCCUUCAUAUGUGAAACCUAUGGAUUCACUUGCCUUCUCUCUCUCUCUUUUUAUCAACAAAAAUAAUAUAUAUAUAUAUAUAUAUAUGUUGGGUUGUGACUAAAAUCCAUAUGGCAGUUAAUUCGGUUAUUGUUUUUCUUGUUCUGCCAUUUUCUGAUCCUUUGUUUAUAUAAGGCAAGACUGCUCUGUAAUUGGAAUGAUCUUCCCUUUUGAGUUGCAUCAAUAAUAAAUAGCUCUCUGUUCCCUCCCGUGGAUGUAGCCUAAUCAAGGGUGAACCACGUAAAUUCUCUGCGUUCUUUCUCUCAUUUCUCUCUUUCAUUUUACUGCAAAUUCUGUGUAUGACAUAUUGUUCUGCCGUUGCUGUUGUUCUUGUUUUUUCUUCAUCACUUUCAUAACAAACUGGUAUCAAGAGCUCAAGUUGCGAUCAAGGGAAUUCAAGAUUCUCGUUUGAAUACGAAGAUCAAGUUGUGCGAGUCUUGUUUCUGGUAUCUUUCGCUGCUUCAUUGUGAUAAAAAAACACUCAAGAAAUCAUGCCAAACACAAUCAGGAUUAAGAAAUUCAAUGGAAAGAAAAGCUUCAAUCUGUGGCGUAUCAAGAUGCGUGCUUUGUUGAAGGAACAAUGUGUUUGGGCUCCUGUUGCUUCUGCAUCUAUGAAGAAACCAGUGACUUCUGAAUCAAAAGAAAAGGCCUCUGUUUCAAAGACUGAAGAACUCGCGGAACAAGAAGAAAAUGCUCACUCACUAAUCUUGCUUUCUUUGUCUGAUGAAGUUUUAUAUAAGGUUGCUAAUGAAGAAACUGCAAGUGGCUUAUGGCUUAAGUUGGAAAAGCUAUAUAUGACCAAGUCAAUCUGCAACAAGCUCUUCUUGAAAAGGUGUCUAUUUGGUUUACACGUGAAAUAAGGUACAUCUCUUAAGGAUCAUCUUGAUGAACUGAACUCUAUUUUGAUGGAAUUAAGAGAUAUAGAUGUUAAUAUAGAGGAUGAAGAUGCUGCCAUGAUUUUGCUAGCCUCUCUACCACCAUCAUAUGAGAGCUUUGUCAAUUCUCUUAGUGUUGGUAAGGAAUUUGUCACCAUGGAGGAGGUGAAAUCCAACUUAUAUUCAAGGGAACUUAGAUCUAAAGCACCUGGAAAUUCUGAAGAAUCAAAUGGUUUUGGUCUUGUGGUCUCUAACUCUAACAAGAACAUCAAGAAAAAGUGUUUAAAGGAAAGAAGAAGACUCAUGUCAAUCCAAAGGACAUUUGUACUACUGUAAGGAGUCAGGUCAUUGGAAGAAAGAUUGUCCUAAGAAAAAGGGCAAACCAUCUGUUGUUGUUGCCAAGGAAGGUUCCACAUUUGAAAAUAAGCAUGUUCUCUCAGUUUCUGAUCACCACCAACAUUCUAAAGAUCAGUGGAUAUUAGACUCUGGCUGUUCCUUUCAUAUGUGUCCUAACAAAACCUGGUUUGACACCUAUGAAGAGAAAUCGGGUGGAAAUGUCUUUAGGGGAAAUGAUGUCUCAUGCAAGACAGUUGGAAUUGGCACAAUAAAAAUCAAGAUGCAUGAUGGAAUUAUCCGAACACUCACUGAAGUUAGACAUGUUCCAGAGCUGAAGAAGAAUCUAAUCUCUAUAGGUAUUAUGGAUGGAAAGGGGUUCAAAUGCAACACUAAAAAUGGGGUCAUGAAAAUUCAGAAAGGCUCUACAUUAGUGAUGAAGGGUAUAAAGAGGGGUAAUCUCUAUAUACUUCAAGGUACAACAUGUAUUGAUGAUGAUCUAGUAGCUGUCUCAUCAAAGUUUAAUAAGAGCAUACUGACUUAACUCAAUUGUGGCACAUAAGGCUUGGUCAUAUGAAUGAAAAAUGUAUGAUGAUACUCCAAAAACAACAGCUGUUGGGAAAUCAGAAACUGGAUGAGCUUAAAUUAUGUGAACAUUGUGUUUUCGGCAAGCAACAUAGGAUUAAAUUUCCUAAAGCAAUUCACACCACCUAAGGAACUCUUGAUUACAUUCAUGUUGACUGCUGGGGGCAUGCAAGAGUACCUUCACUAGGUGGUGGAAGGUAUUUCCUUUCCAUAAUUGAUGACUACUAAAAAAUGACAUGGAUCUACAUCAUGAGUCAGAAGAGUCAAGCUUUCAAAUGCUUCAAAGAAUGAAAAGAACUGAUUGAAAAACAAACUGAAAGGAAAGUUAAAAGACUCAGAACUGACAAUGGCCUAGAGUUCUGCUCAACAGAAUUUAACAAAUUCUAUAGAGAAGAAGGAAUUGUUAAAAAACUUACUGUUAGGAACACUCCUCAGCAAAAUGGAGUUGCUGAAUGAAUGAACCGAACACUUCUGGAAAGAACAAGAUGCUAAUUGUCUAAUGUUGGCCUCAACAAAAGUUUUUGGGGAGAAGCUAUCAAUACAACUUAUUUUCUUAUCAAUAGAACACCCUCUACUGCUAUAGGACUUAAAACUCUUAUUGAAAUCUGGAAUGACAAAACAACAAACUACUCAAAUCUAAGAGUAUUUGGCUGCAAUGCUUAUUAUCAUGUCAAUCAAGGAAAGCUGGUACCUAGAUCAAGAAAGGCUUUGUUCAUGGGUUAUGGUGAUGGGGUGAAAGGUUAUAGGAUCUGGUCACCCUCUGAAAGGAAAGUUCUUCUCAGUAGAGAUGUAAUUUUUGAUGAAUCACAUCUGCUCCAUCCUAAAAUUGAGGUUCCAAUUACUGAAACACAGAGUUGUCACUCUCCUCAAGAAAAAGAUGUAGAAUCUAUAACCAAAGACUCAGAAAAAGGGGGUCAUAGAGAUACAUCUCCUGUAGUUCUUCAAGAAGGUAAGUAAUCAGAAGAUUCCAGUGCAAAUGAGUCUCAUCAGAAUGCUGAACCUGAGCCUGCUCAACUCAAUCCUAGAAUCAGUUAGAGACCUAAGAGGGUCAUCAAGCCUCCUGAGAGAUAUGGCUUUGAAGAUAUGGCUGAUUAUGCUUUACAUGCAGCUGAAGAAAUAGAUUCAAAUGAACCUGCCACCUACAAAGAAGCUAUCAAUCAUCCUGAAGCUAAAAAUUGGUUGUUAGCUAUGAAAGAGGAAAUGGAAUCUCUAUAUAAGAAUCAAACCUGUAAACUUGUUGAAGUACCUAAAGGAAGACAUGUGGUAGGUUGCAAGUGGAUAUUCAAAAGGAAACCUGGUCUUUCAGAAAAGGAAGGGAUAAGAUACAAGGCUAGGUUAGUUGCCAUGGGAUUCAGCCAGAAAGAAGGAGUAGAUUGCAAUGAAAUAUUUUCACCUAUGGUUAGACAUACAUCCAUCAGGGUUUUGCUUGCUAUAGUGGCAAACCAAAAUUUGGAACUUGAACAGCUUGAUGUCAAGGCUUCUUUUCUCCAUGGAAGAUUGGAAGAAAAUAUUAUAAUGAAACAACCUGAAGGGUUUGAAGUUCAAGGAAAAGAAAUGUAUGUAUGUCAACUGCAGAGGUCCUUAUAUGGACUGAAACAAUCCCCAAGACAAUGGUACGUGAGGUUUGGCAGCUUUAUCACCAACCAAGGAUUCAAGAGAAGUCUCUAUGAUUGUUGUGUUUAUCACAACAAGGUGGAGGAUGGAUCAAUGAUCUACCUUCUACUCUAUGUAGAUGACAUGCUUAUUGCAGCUACAAGCAUGUGUGAUAUACAAAAUCUGAAGAUCCUCCAGGGUGGUGAGUUUGAUAUGAAAGAUCUAGAGGUUGCAAAGAAAAUGUUAGGAAUGGAGAUCUAUAGGGACAUAACUUAGAAAAGGCUAUUUUUGUCUCAAAAGGAUUGCAUUCAGAAGAUACUUGUGAGGUUUGGAAUGACUGAUUCUAAAACUAUCAGUACUCCCCUUUCAAAAAAAGAGAAGUUGUCUGCUAUGAUAAAGGUUCAAGCUCAUGCUGAUUAGGACUAUAUGUCAAAGGUUCCAUACUCAAGUGUUGUCGGCAGCCUCAUGUAUGCCAUGGUCUGCACCAGACCUGACCUUGCUUAUGCUGUUAGCAUGGUUAGUAGGUUCUUAAACCAACCUCAGAAGGAACAUUGGAAGGCUGUGAAGAGAAUUUUCAGAUAUCUUAAACGGACUACAGAUAUAGGUUUGAUCUAUGGAUCUAACUUGGAUUGUUGUCUCACUGGCUAUUCUAAUGCUGAUUUUACUGCUGAUCUUGUCAAGAGAAGGUCCCUAACAGGGUAUGCUUACACCCUUUGUGGCUGCUUUGGUGAGUUGGAAGGCAACACAUCAACAUUUUGUUGCCCUCUCAACUACUAAGGCCGAAUAUAUGGCUCUUACUGAAGCUGCAAAGGAAGGAAUUUGGCUAAGAGGUCUGAUAAAUGAUCUCGAAAUUAAUCAAGAAUAUGCUAACAUAUACUGUGAUAGCCUUAGUGCUAUAUGCUUGCCAAGGAUCAGGUUCAUCAUGAUAGAACCAAGCAUAUAGAUGUUAGAUAUCACUUCAUUCGGUCAGAAAGAAGAAUUAAGGUUCAUAAGAUCAGUACUCUGCACAAUCCUGUUGAUAUGUUCACAAAACUAGUCCCAAAGAGUAAGUUUGAUCACUGUUAAGCUUGCUCAAUGUUGAUUGUUGGGGUUAAGUUCAUGUGUGUUUGGAGGGUGCAGUUUAUGUUUUAUAUGGAUGUUAGUUCAAGGUGGUGGAUUGUGACUAAAAUCCAUAUGGCAGUUAAUUCGGUUAUUGUUUUUCUUGUUCUGCCAUUUUCUAAUCCUUUGCUUAUAUAAGGCAAGGCUGCUCUGUAAUUGGAAUGGUCUUCCCUUUUGAAUUUCAUCAAUAAUAAACAGCUCUAUGUUCCCUCCUGUGGAUGUAGCCUGAUUAAGGGUGAACCACGUAAGUUCUCUGUGUUCUUUCUCUCCUUUCUCUCUUUCAUUUUAUUGCAAAUUUUGUGUAUGACAUAUUGUUCUGUUGCUGUUGCUGUUCUUGUUUGUUCUUCAUCACUUUCAUAACAACAAUAUAUAUAUAUAUAUAUAUAUAUAUAUAUAUAUAUAUAUAUAUAUAUAUAUAUAUAUAUAUAUAUAUAUAUAUAUAUAUUUCGAAGUACCAGAGGUACAAAGAUACAUAGUUGAGAUAGACCAAACAAUUGGUUCCGUAUAUCAGACUUAGCAUAGUCUCGAUAGGAACCAAACGAUGGCUAUGAACACAAGGCUGCAUAUACUGUUAUCCUAUGUUGCUAUCCUCAGCUAAUAGACAAAACCACUCCUAAUAUUACUCAACCAUUGGUUAAAAUGUAUUGUAAAAUCUUUCUCCAAACUUCUAAGCCAAGUUCAAAGUAAGAAUAUUGCAUCUUCAAACACUUUGUUGCCAUUUAAUGUUGCAUUGGCAAACAAUAUGUUGUUCCUAUGCUGCCAUAUGGACCAUGUCAAAGCUAGUCACCAGCACUACCACCUAUUGACCCUUAUUCCCUCAGCCAAAACAGAUGCAUGUUAGAGAAAAUGUUGAUUUGGGGUUUGUGGGAAAACACCUUGUAUAUUCAGCCAAGACAGGGAUUCCCACCAAAUAGGUUGGAUUUUGUUGCAGUGGAUAAACAAAUGGGUUGAAUCCUCCUCCAUGCUUUUGUAGAAUGGACAAGACAAGUCAUUGAUCUGCACUUGCCGCCUUUGUAAAUUUGUUCUUGUUAGCAACCUAUCUCUAAGUAACCUCCAGACAAAGACUGAGAUUUUUCUUGGGAUCUUUAUUUUCCAUAGUUCCUCAAAACACUCAUUUUGACUCCCCUCGGUUGUUUCCCCCCUUAACAUAUGGUAAGCACUUUGUCCCGAAUAAUUGCCGCUUGGAUUUGCCUUCCACACCCACACAUCACUUCUAUGUUGUUGUAUUAUCUUGCCUUCAACAUCUCUUAGGAAACUAACAAUUGUGGCAAUCUCAUUGUCAAACAGUGGCCUCCUCCAUAUGAAAUUCCACUCCCAUCCUGUGUCCUUUUGAUCUCCCAUCUACCUAAUGAUCUAAUUUUGCUGGCAAGAAAUGAGAUAUAAUCUAGGGUAUUUUGCUGAUAAUGUUUCCUUCCCACUAACCCAUCUAUCCUCCCAGAACUUGAUCCUAUCACCACAUCCAACCUUCCACAUCGUUCCAUUAGAGCCCGUCCCUGUUGUGUGUGAAGAAAAACCAUUUUAAAGUCCCUCCACCAUAUUGAUUCAUUGGUAACUCUAGAUGUUGUAUCCAGGCUCCUCCAACCACCAUAUUUUGACUCCAAUACCCUAGCCCAUAGUUGUCCUUGAUGCUGAAAGAGAUUUCAUUUCCAUUUGCCAAGCAAUGCAAGAUUGAAAGUCUUAAUGUCCUUGAGGCCCAAUUCUCCUUUUUCUUUUGGUAGGCACACGGUCUCCCACUUAAUCCAAGCAAUCUUGUUAUGCUCAGGUCUGCCACCCCAAAGGAAUCUUUGUUGUAAGCUCACUAUCUUGUCCACCACUCUAUUAGGGACCCUAAAAAAUGAAAAGAAGUAAAUGGGAAUCGAUGUUAGUACCGACUGUAUAAGGGUCACUCUCCCCCCAAAGAAAACGUGUCUUUGCUUCCACUUAGCUAGUUUUCUCUCACACUUAUUAAUGACAGGAUCCCACAACUGACAUCGCCUCGGGUUUUCCCGACUAGGUAUGCCCAAGUACACGAAAGGAAUGGCCAACAAACUACAAUUUAAGUAAUUGGCUGCUAGUUGCUUCCACUGAUCAGGCACUCCUAUUGCUCCAAAACUGCUUUUUGCAAAGUUAAUUUUGAGACCUGAUACGAGUUCGAAAGUCCUUAGGAUAGCUUUGAUAGCCUUGACAUUCUCCAUUUUUUCCUCACCAAAGAAAAUUGUGUCGUCCGCGUAUUGAAGUAUGCUUAUUCUUACAUUGUUUGAGCCCACUGGAAAACCUGUGAACAAGUUUUUCUCCAAAGCUUUCCUCAACAACCCAUUUAGAGCUUCGAUAACCACAUUAAAGAGAAGUGGCGCUAAUGGAUCCCCUUUCCUGAGUCCUCUUUUGAUGAGGACAUGACCAAGAGCAAGGGCAAGGAUCCACUUGAAGGACUUGGAGGACCUAUGACAAUCAAAGGACUUUCACAACUUUUGUGUGUUGCCCUCGUCGGAAAGAGUGAUUCUUUCCUUCCUUUCAUCUUCAACCUUGUUCUUUCAAACCACAAUUCCAAAAAAUCCACCUCUGCCCAGAAUUAUCUUGUUGCCAUAUCUCUCAUUUUACGCACUCAAAUUAAGUGAUUCUUGAGCCUAAAUUGAAUUUCAAAACGAGACCUUUCACCUCGUUUUGGAAUCACCUCAUUUGGAGCUUUGUAGCUUAAGUUAUUGUCAUUUCUAUAUUUCUGUCCAGCCACCACUUAACCUACGUUUUACCAUCCCAUUCAUACAUUUUAUGACAAGAACCACCUUAUUAAGAACCACGAAAUUAACCACCUUAUUUUCUAUCCUUUCCUUAAUCAAUUUUUGCAUUUUUCAUCAAGGUUUAAUCUUAGAAAAUCCUAAGUCAGCCCUUGUGCCAUGAGGGUUCAUAUUAGGCUUCCAUUCACUAGAACUGAAAUAGAUGCAGAUCUUAAACACCCGUCAAUCCAUUUGAUCCAUUUGGAGCUAAAGCAUGUUCUUCUCAGCAUGUGUAACAAGAAAUCCCAUGAUAUUGAAUCAUAUGUCUUCUCAUAGUCUACUUUAAGCACAAGGCAUGAUUUUUGGCUCAUUUUAGCUUCUUCGAUCACCUCAUUUCCUAUCAUCAUACUGUGUAACAGAUGUCGACCCCCUAUGAAAGCAGAUUGGGUUUCAUUAAUUAUGAGUGGCAUCACCAUCUUCAUUCUUCUAGCCAACAGCUUGGCCACUAUCUUGUACAUACAGCCUAUUAAAUAAAUAGGUUUGUAAUCAUUUAGGAGUUAUGGGCCAGCCACCUUUGGAAUUAGGGCUAUAAAAGAUGCAUUACAACCCCUUGGGAAAGUUCCAUUUGCAUGGAAUUCAGCUAGAAACUGAAGGACAUCAGGUUCGAGUAUAUGCCAAAAUUUCUUGAUGAACUUGAAGUUUAGUCCAUCUGGGCCUGGACUUUUGUCACUCCCAUAGUCCUAUAUGGCCUGUCGUUACUUCUUCCUCCUGAAAAUAUCCCAGCAGCAUAUCAUUUUGUGGUUGACCAAUAGUUUGAAAAGAGAUUCCAUCCAGCUGGGGUCUAUGAUGCACCGGUUCUUGAAAUCUUUGCAAGAAAUACAAUCUGACUUCCUCUUUCACUCAUGCUGGCUCGUCAAUCCAAGUUUCAUCAGACAUGAUUCCUUUCAGAGAAUUGUUCCUGCGAUUAGCAUUCAUCAACAAGUGAAAGUAACAUGAAUUGCAAUCGCCUUCUUUGAUCCAUCUAGACCUCACCUUUUGCCUCAUAAGAGACUCAUGCAAUUGAGCAGGUACCCACAAUGCUUCCUGUAGCUAUUUCUUUGUCAACACUUCAUGGGGAGAUAGUUGUCUGUGGAUUGUAUCAUCUUCCAUCUUGUUUAAGUCUGCCUCAAUCUUCUUGACCUUCUUAAGAGUAUCUCCAAAAUGUUCCCUAUUCUAAGUCUUCAGCCUUUCUUUGAGUCUUUUUAUUUUUUCUUUAAGCACAAAACCUCCCCAUCCCCACUGUUGAUUAGAAUUCCAACAUUUCUGAACAAUUGUCUUAAAUGAGUUAUCCAAGAGCCAGCAAUUUAGGAUCCUGAAAGGUUUGGGGCCCCAGUCUAUAAACUUGGACCUUAGAAGAAUUGGACAGUGGUCUGAGAAAUUUCUAUCCAAUGUAAAUUAGGUACUUCCAGGCCAUUUAACAAGCCAUUCAGGGGACACCAAGAAUCUGUCCAGCUUGCUCCUAGAAGCUCCAUUGAGUUUGAACCAUGUGAAUUUUCUUCCCACCCAUGGUACGUUAUCAACCUCCAUGUCUUCUAUCCAGUCAUUAAACUCCUUUAUGUUGCUUUCCCCUAACCCCUUCUGACAAGUUCCCAGCCUUUCUGUUGGAUCUCUAAUGUUGUUGAAGUCACCCAUUAUGCACCAUAAACCCCCAGGGUUUGCAUUUUUCAGCUGCUUGACAUUAUCCCAUAAUGUUCUUUUAUUUUGAAUAUCACACGGUGAGUAAAUGGUACUAUAUUGACUUGAUGUGCCUCCUUUAACCAUUGUCCCUUCAAUAAAAUAAAACCACUGCCAAUGACUUUCCUUUGUAGCUUGAAAGUUUUUUCACUCCAUAGACAUAAAAUGCCUCCUACUGUGUUAGUUGCAGGUUGCAUCUCCCAGCUAACAUCAAAAUCCCACCAUAGUGCUUGGCAUGCGGAUUUGACAAUUAUUUCCUUCUUUGUUUCCUGAAAACAGAUCAUGUCUACAUGCUCCUUCUUGACCAAUCUUCUAAUUGCUCCCCAUUUCACCCCCAUCCCUAAUCCUCUAACAUUGUAGGUGAUAAUAUUCAUGGGGUAGAGCUUCUAUUUCCCAACCUCUCUGCCUCCUUCUUGUCUCUUUCUUCCAUUGCCCUUAUUUUGUCAAUGAUUUCCCCCUGCUCUGACCCUCCUGUUUCCCCCAGUUGUUUAGCCAUGUUCCAUAUAGUUGUUGCCUCUUGUAGUUGGUGAUUCCCUGAAUUUGGGUCCUCCAUUUCAUUCUAUGGUGUUGUUCCUACCAAGGAAACGUUGUUAUCGUUAAAACCAGUCCCUCCUUGGUCUCUGUCCAAUAUUUGCUUUUGUUGUGGGUUCCUUGUGUUUAUUUCUCUAGCUGUAUCAGUGUCUUCAGUGUUUGAACAACCCGCUUGUGGUUUCUUUAGGUACCUUCUAUUUCGUGAGUAAACCUGCCAUGUAGUUGUGGAAUCACCCUUUUUAAUUUGUGAGCUAAGGCCAUAGUGUGCUGAGUUCUUAGAUGGGGUAUGAAAAGAAAAGCCCAGCCCAUUAUUAAAAUCUCCUUCAGCCCUCUGUGUGUCCCGUGAUUCUGUCCCAAACAAAAUUUGUGGCCCUGCCCCAUCAUUGCUCCCUUUUUCUGCUUGUUUUCUGUUUUCGUGACUAAAAUGCUCCCCCUCUGUGGGAUUGGUGUUUCCAACAUGUUGCGCCUCACCCACUUUGCGUGCAGCCUCAUGUGGGUAGCUAUGGCUUGUCUCCAUCCACUGACGUGCCGCCUGACCAUCAUCCACUCUCCCUUUGGUGUCACCUCAUCUUCCUUUCUAGAUGUUUUCCGUUAUCCGAGAACUUUUUCUUUUACCCUACGGAUUUUCUUUAUCGCUUUGACUGCUGGGUAAUAUGGAGGUCCCCUGGCUAUUGUUGUCGGUGUUAGGAUUGAGAGUGGUCCUUCGCGGUUCAACUCUAGUUUCCGGAUCCUCCAUGUCUUGCAGCUCUAUUUCUUUCUCCCACGCAUUUGCAUGCCCCUGAAUCAUAGUGCCGAAGUCGCUUUCAACGGACUCAAUCUCCUCUGACGACACCAUGGAACUCCGGAGUCUGUAAUGGCUAUCAUGGGUGCCGAAACCGCAUUCCUCCACCAUGUGUACUUUGUGGAACUCCCUGCCAAUGUGCACGUUAACCAUGUGCUGAAUUGCAGGCCUCCAUUGAGUUUUAAUUAGCACCCUAGCUCUAUCCAUCCUACGACCUUCCUCGACGUCAUCAUCCACCUCCACUAUGUCUCCAAUGGCAGCCACUAUCUUAUGGGUUUGUUUCAUGUCCCAGGUCAUUAUCGGAAUACCCCAGCAUUGAACCCAGGUUAACCUGAAACUAGUGCGCAGGCUCGGGCUCCACUUCUCCAGCGAGUGGAACAUCGAAACUCCUCCAUCGUUUUCUUCGUUGAGCAUUUGUUCUGCUUUGGCAUUAGUAAGGCCAAGCAACAAAACUAGAUCAUCUCCCAUAUACUUGGGUGUUAUGUACACUCUGAUGUCCCACAGUAAGUCAUCUUUGAUUCUCUCGAAACUCACUAGAUUUUUUAAUUGUCCUACCCAAACUUCGCUGAGCCAUUUCUUCUCGUCUGGUGCAAUGUCGAGAUGUACCGUUGAGGAUGAGCUUUCGCGACUGUGAGGUUCGUUGUUUUGUGCCUUUCUUUGCCCCGAAAUCCAGUUAUUUCUUGCCACCACCACCGAGUAUGAAGCUGAGUUUGGUCGUUGAUAUGGUUGUUUACCUCGAACUGCUUCAUUUUCAUUUCUCUCCUUCUGCCCCUUUAGUUUGACUCCUGAAGCUUCCUAUCUCGACAUCUCUCUCCCAUACUUUGGGAUGUUAACAUACAAUUUCAGCCCAUCGACCAUGAUCUUGUCUAGUUGCAUUGCUAGUCUCUGGACAUCGUUGACCCCCUUAAAUCUUGUGAAACCGUACUUCCUGCCAUUGUUGUUUCUCGAUUUUGGGAUGAAAAUCUCCCUCACGUCGCCCCACUUUUUGACAUGAUGCCAUAAAUCCUUCUCGUUAAUGUCGUCGGAAAAGCGUGUGAAAUAGAAGGAUGAUACAUCCUUGUGGUCCCUCCAAUUUGAUCGAAUGUAGUAUUACUGGUGUCCUUUCCUGUUUCCAGCAGAUGUCUGCCGAGGAUCGUCACGGAAACUCACUCUUUGUCUCUCAAUAGCCUUACCUCUAGUCCUAUCUCUCUCCCACCCAGGGUUUCUCUCUCUACUCAUUCUCUCUCUUCUGUUCGAAUAUAUAAUGAAUAUUUUGCAUUCAUAUAUUUAAUAAAAAAUUGAAUGCCACAACUACUUGCCUUCUCUCUUGGAACCUUCUAAGUUGUGGCCAAGCAACUCUAGGGAACCUCCUCCGAUGACCACCCUCAUUGGCGACCUGAGUGUGGUUGCUCUUGUUCUUCAUCUAUUCAAUGUUUUUGUACUCUAUUUUUUCCUUCUAAAUUUGAAGAUUUAGAUCUGGUUUUUAGAAUUUCAGAAUUUAGUUCUAUCUCUUUUAGAAUAUCAUAAUCAAUCACAAUAUAUAUAUAGAGAGAGAGAAUCAGGUUGUUCUAUGUUUUUUUGAUAAACCUAUAAUGUUCCCAACUCUUUUUCACUUAUAGAACGAUGCCAAGCACCCAAAAUCACAUUCUUUUGUGACUUGUGAUAUUUGUUGGAUUUUUGUCCGAUUUUGUUGGGUUCAAUUUAUUUUUGUUUAUGUAUAUAACAAAUGCAUUUAAAAACAAGUGUAAUUCCAAAAGAGCAUUGACAUUGUUAUUGUUCAGGUUUUAUACAUCAUCUUGGUAUCAAUUCAUAAAUUUCAAAUGUACAAAUUUGUUACCUAUCCCUGCCAAGUGUAUAGAGUUUAUUACAAAUCAAUUGAUGUUAUUUAUCCUAAAAUCACUUUUUAGCAAACUUACCGAAAUCAAAAUUGAUUCGAAUUAUAAUUGAUUAUAACAAUGACGAAUUAUACAUAUAAAGAGAAGGAAAUUAAUGCAUAGAUGGUUUAGCAGCUCAUAGCUAUGCUUAAGAAUUUUUUUUGUGGUUUGAUAAUCUUCCUUUUUUUGUGAAGAAGCAUUUUAUAGAAAUAGGCUUGGCCUACCUAACUACAAGUUCUCUUGAUGUAGCGUCUUUUUUUGCAUGGGUAUUGGUUUAUAUCCCCCAUAUUCUUCUAUUUUCCUUUUUCUCUUAUUUAUAUGAUAUUCAGGUAUUCUUAUGAUGGCUGAGGUAGGGAGUACCAACAUAGUUGGGAUGUCCUACCUAAUUGUUACUCUUUAGUUCACUUUUUUUUUUAAAAAAAGCAUACAUAUAAUUAAUUAUUGAAGUAAUUUAAUAUUUGUAACUAUCCCAAACACAUCAUUACAAUAUUCCUACUCCAUUGUAAAUACAAUAAUUUUAUUGUCCAUUGUCUGGUCUUUUCUCUCUAUAAACUUAAAAAGUAUAAGGAAACAUGUUUCCUUUAGUAUCAAGGCCUCCUCUAUUCCUUGGAUGAUCCUUAGUGUUGUUCCUUGGCCAUGGUGUCCCUUCUCCUUGGCCACGGUUUCCUUUAGUAUCAAGACCUCACCUUUUCGUGUCAAUGGCAUAAGUUUUUUCAACAAGAUCAUAAGUUAUUGGACAACCUCAACACCCUGUCAUUCAACUGAGGAUUUUAUAACCUUCAAGGUUCCAGGCUCAGCUUGGAACUUCUUGUGUUGUUUUGCUUGAUGCUGAGAUCAAUAAGCAUGGGCAGCCAAAACUCUGUCUAAUGCUACGUCUCUUUUGUUGAGGGGGGAUUCUUGAAGUUUGUACUAAUGUUUUCCAUUUAUCCUACAAACAUCUAUAGGUCAAAUCAUGUGGCAAUUAAGCAAUGCUAUUUGCAUUACAACACAUGCCUCAUAUAACCAAGGUAAAAUCUCUUUAGAAUCAAAGGAACGAUAUACAUAAUCAGCAACUUAGCAUCACACCACCUACACAUAAAUAAUGAAAUAAGAAAAAUCUCAAUAUUGCAUCUAUUAGGAGUGAUCAUGGUAGAGAAUUUGAAAAUAAGGAUUUUGAAUAAUUUUGUGAUGAAAAUGACAUUGAACACAAUUUUUCUGCACCUAGAAUCCCUCAACAAAAUGGAGUAGUUGAGAGGAAAAAUAGAUCUUUAGAAGAAAUAGGCAGAACUUUGCUUAAUGAUACAAACCUUCCUAAAUAUUUAUGGGUUGAAGUUGUAAAUAUUGCAUGUUAUAUAAUGAAUAGAGCUUUAAUUAGACCAAUCCUGAAGAAAACUCCCUAUGAAUUGUAUAACGGAAGAAAACUGAACAUUUCUCAUCUUCAUGUGUUCGGAUGUAAGUGUUUUAUGCUAAACAAUGGGAAAGACAACUUAGGUAAAUUUGAUGCAAAAUAUGAUGAAGGUAUAUUCCUUGGCUAUUCCUUGAAUAGUGAAGCAUUUAGAACUUAUAACAAAAGAACUAUGAUUAUUGAAGAAUCUAUCCAUGUUGCCUUUGAUGAAACUAAACCUAUAAGGCCAAGAAAGGAAAUUCUUGAUGAUAUUUCAAAUUCUUUAGAAGAUAUGCAUAUUCAUGUGGAAAAGCACAAAGGCAAAGGAAAUGGAAAUGAUGAAGACUUUCAAAUUGAUGAAACAAAAACAAGUACAAAUCUUCCAAGAGAUUGGAGAACUUCAAGAUACCAUCCUCUUGAUAACAUCAUCGGUGACAUAUCUAAAGGGGUAUCAACUAGACACUCUCUCAAAGAUGCAUGUAAUGAUAUGGCUUUUGUUUCUUUAAUUGAACCUAGAAAUUUAAAAGAAGCCAUAAUUGAUGAACAUUGGAUUAUUGCUAUGCAAGAAGAGUUAGAUCAAUUUGAAAGAAAUAAAGUUUGGGAAUUAGUUGACAAACCCGAUAAUCAUCUAGUUAUAGAAACUAAAUGGGUAUUCAAAAACAAAUUGGAUGAACAUGGAAUAGUAAUUAUAAAUAAGGCUAGGCUAGUGGCCAAAGGAUAUAAUCAAGAAGAAGGACUAGAUUAUGAGGAAACCUAUGCUUUAGCAGCAAUAUUAAAAGCCAUUAGAAUGUUAUUGGCUUUUGCAUCCAUAAUGGACUUCAAACUCUAUCAAAUGGAUGUUAAAAGUGCUUUUUUAAAUGGUUUCAUCCAAGAAGAAGUAUAUGUGGAUCAACCUCCUGGUUUUGAAAACUCAGAAAAGCUCAAUCAUGUCUUUAAAUUGAAAAAGACUCUACUCUAUAUGGUUUAAAACAAGCCCCAAGAGCUUGGUAUAAACGUCUAAGCAAAUUCCUUUUAGAAAAGGGCCUUUCAAGAGGAAAGGUUGAUACCACUCUUUUUAUAAAAAUAAAAUUGAAUGAUAUUCUCUUAGUACAAAUAUAUGUUGAUGAUAUAAGUUUUGGGUCAACUAAUGAUUCUUUUUGCAAAGAAUUCUCUCAAGAUAUGCAAAAUGAAUUUGAAAUGUCAAUGAUGGGUGAGUUAAAUUUUUUCCUUGGACUGCAAAUAAAGCAAACAAAUAAUGAUAUAUUUAAUAGUCAGUCCAAAUAUUGCAAAGAACUAAUUAACAGGUUUGGGAUGGAAAAUGUUAAACACAUGACCACUCCUAUGAGCACUUCUUGCUAUCUAGAUAAAGAUGAAACCAGUCAGUCAAUAGAUAUAAAGAAAUAUAGAAGUAUGAUCAAAUCUCUUCUUUAUUUAUCUGCAAGUAGACCUAAUAUUAUGUUUAGUGUUUGUAUGUGUGCAAGAUACCAAGCAAAACCCAAAGAAUCUCACCUUAGUGCAGUUAAAAGAAUAAUGAGAUACUUAUUAGGCACUAUAAAUCUAAGAUUAUGGUAUCCUAAGAAUUCCUCUUAUAAUUUAAUAGGAUACUCUGAUUCUGACUUUUCCAAAUGCAAAAUUGAUAGAAAAAGUACUAGUGGAACAUGUCAUUUUAUUGGUUCUACUCUAGUAUCAUGGCAUAGUAAGAAACAAAAUAGUGUUGUCUUAUCCACUGUUGAGGCGGAAUAUAUUUUUGCUGGAAGUUGUUGUGCACAAAUACUUUGGAUGAAACAACAACUUUGUGACUAUGGAUUAAUACUUGAUCAUAUUCCCAUUCAAUGUGAUAACACAAGUGCAAUCAAUUUAUCUAAAAAUCCUAUUAUGCACUCUAGAACAAAACAUAUUGAAAUAAGACAUCAUUUCUUGAGAGAUCAUGUUCAAAAAGGGAAUUGUGUACUAGAAUUUGUUGACACAAAGAAUCAGUUAGUUGAUAUCUUUACAAAACCUCUCCCCAAAGAAACUUUCUUUGCUAUUAGAAGAGAAUUAGGACCCAUAGACAUAAAUAACUUGGACUCAUAGCCAUUUUGAUUGUUUAUAAGAAAUUGUCUUUGAUGGUUGUUACUCAUGCUUGUUUAUAAUGAUUGUUUCCUUUGAUUAAGAAAAAUGAUUGUGUUUGAUAGUUAUCUUUUAUGGUUUAUUAUAAUGAUUGAUUAAUUUUUUUAGAAUGAAGUGCUUGUGUUUGCUAAUGAUUGUUUUUUAUUGACUAUUUUGAUUAUUUUUUAUGAUCGUGUUUGAUAGUUAUGAUGAUUGUUUAUUUUAUUAUAAUGUUUUGAUUGUUUAUAAUGACUAUUUUUAAUGGUUAUUUUGCUUGUUUAUGAUGAUUGAUUAUUUGUCCUGAUUUAUAACAUUAUCUAUCUUUAAUUUCCUUGAUAUUUCAAACUUUCUGCAUUGGGUUUCUUUCGAAUUUGCUUCUUUAUAUUUCUGUUUUUGACUUGGUUGUUUUGUGACUGCUUUGGAUAUUCCUCUUUGCUAUUUAAGCCUUAAUGUGUUUAGCACUUGGUUGAUUCCUCUUUGAAUGAUUGUUUCUAUUUCGGUGCUUUCGUCUUUUUGAUGUUGCCAAAGGGGAAGAGAAUCAUGUAAGGUACAAGGUAUAUAUGUAUUUUUUUGUAAACUAUUUUCUGCUAAGCAAUGAUUGCAAAAUUAAGGGGGAGUGAUCCUCUUGCAAAAGAAAUAUUUUUCCAUAAAUAAUUUCAGUUGGUUGUCAUCAUCAAAAAGGGGGAGAAUGUGAAUAUAUGCAUAUAAAGGUUUUGAUGAUGCCAAGACAAAAGCAAUACAAAUUUUAUUUCAAGUCCAAAUCAAGACCAAGAAAACAAAGAUCAAGAAGAAAGCUAAGUCUUAGUCUAUCUUUGUUAAAAGAGUCUCUUAGUGAUUGCAAACGUUUAACCUCACAACAUAGUUUUUAAAUUGGUUAUAAAAAGGUUUUAAAAUAUUUUUAACAUUUUUGAAAAAGAUAUUUUUCCACUAGCAAUCGAUUACCAGACAUUAUAAUUGAUUACUAGAAGUAAAAUUAUUUUAAAAAGUUUUUUCAGAAAAUUUGAAAUUUGAAUUUGAAAUUGAAAUUUUAAAUUUUAAAUUUUAAAAGUUACUCUGAAAAGUCACAUCCCUUCCUAAGUUUUUGGGAAGCCACCAAAAGCCUAUAAAUAUGUGACUUGUCUACAAAAAUCUUCAGAGUUUUUCAGAAUUUCAUUGUCUUGUUCUCUCAAAAAUAAUCCUUUGGCCACAAAUCAAUUAAGGAUUCUUUUAAGUUCUUCAAUUUGUUGUAUUAUUCUUCCCUAAAAGAGAGAAAAACUUAUGUACUUCAAAAAGAAAAUUGUUGUUGUGAUCAAGAGGUUAUGAGUCUCUUGAUUUGUGAGUUUUUCUUAGCACAAGCGAAAUGAUUCCGAGAUGGUUCAGAAGUUGUAAAAGAAUUUCACAAGGGUAGUGAAAAUCUCAAGUGGAUUGCUUAAGGACUGGACAUAGACACGGUAAGUGGCCGAACUAAUAUAAACUGAGUUUGCACUUCUCUCUUCUCUUAUUUGAUUUAUCAAUUUAAUUUUGUCUUGUGCAUUUAAAGAGCAUCGAUUAAAUUGUUUAUUGCUUCUUCUUCUGCUAAAUCUGUCAUAUAUCAUUUAAGGAGAGAAUUAAAGUUUGUUAGGAAAAAAAUUUAAAAUUUAAUUCACCUCUCCUAAGUUAUUGACGCUAAUUAUCUAACAACUUGUUUGCUUUAUGUAUUAUUAUUCCUCUCAACUAUUUGUGUUUUAAUACAUCACUAAUCAUAAUUAUCUUUACUACAUUCUUUGUCAAAGAUGGACAAAAUAUUAGAACGUUUACAACUCGAUUACUUGAGUUGAGAUGCCCAUGAGCAAAAUGGCUACUCCAACUACCACCCACCUUUUGUUUGGAUUUUUUAUUCCUUGUUUUGGCCGAGCGUGUCCAUACAAUAAGUGUUUUUUAAAUAAAAGAUGUCCACAAACACCCUAUAAAAGAUGUCCAGCUAUGUUUCCCUGUCACUUUCGUCAUUUGGUUGUUGGUACUUUUCCCAAAAUAAAAUAAGUGUUUUCUAUAUAAAAAAAAGUGUUAAGUAAUAUAUGAAUUAAAUAUUUUUUACUUUUAUAAAUAUGAUUUAUUUGGUUUAAUUUUUUAAUUUUAAUACUUAUAAAUUUUAAUUUUUUUAAUAGUCUCUAUUGACUAUUUAGAGGUGAUAUAUUAUUCUUUUUUAAUUCUAAUACUUACAAAUAUGAUUUAUUCGAUUUCCUUAAAAAAAAAAAAAAGAGGCGAUAUAUUAUAUUUUAGUCACAUUACAUUAAAUUGAGGGUGUAGAUAUUUUUUAUACUAUUACCUAAUCUUAGAUUUUUACAAAUGAUAAAAUUAUUAAUUUUUAUAAUAAUAUUAUUAAAAUUAUAUUUAAUUAAUAAUUAAAAAAAUUAAAUAAAAAUUUACAUUAAAUAUGUGCAACGUUACAUUAAAUAUGUGCUACGUUGAUGCUAAAUUAUUAUAAUAAUUAAUUAUAAUAUUUUUUGUGUAACAAACCCAAUUAUUUCUUACCUUUUUUAUGGAAAACAAAAGAUACAGGACCAGAAACCUCUAGAGAAAUAGAUAUGAUAAAAAAAUUGUUUUUAUAUAUUUAUUCCUAAAUCAAAUCAACUAAAAAAACAUAUAAUUUUACCAAAAAACCAACAAAGCAUGAAUACAAAGACAAAAUGAAACCUACUACUAGUUCCAGUUGAUCCUGCGUUUACAGCACUACAGUUCCACAGCAUUAGCCAUUAGCACUAUAAAUAAAUAGAGAACACGCGAAACACCUGAUUCCCCUCCCCAGACGCCGCAGAGUCAGAGAGAGAGAUUCACUGAAACAGAGCGCAGAAGAAAAUACAUAAACUAAUCCAGAAAAUGAGCAGCGGCGCUGGAAAGGUGGUGUGUGUCACCGGCGCUUCCGGUUACAUUGCUUCCUGGAUAGUCAAAUUCCUCCUCAAUCGCGGCUACACCGUUAAGGCCACCGUUCGCGACACAAGUCCGUCACCGCUACUCUCCUUUUUUUUUUUCUUCAUUUUUUGUUAUUUUCAUUUCCUUGGUAUAAUCAUUGUUUUAAUAAUGUAAUCAUUUCAUUAUAUAUAUAUAUCUACUAUAAUUUUAUAAUUUUUUCAAUUUUUUUUUCCUAAUAUUUCUAAAUUUCCAUUUUUCUACUUUACAAAGUACAAAGUAGAUCGAUAGAAUAUCGAGUUAAUUUUCAUUUUUUCUGUCACUUGUAAUUUUUUUGUUAGCAAAUGUUAAUAGUUAGUUUUUGCUUACUAGAAAUAUUGAAACUUAUGAUCUCUUUCUUUUCCUUCAACACGGAAGAUAGAUAGAUCUCGAGAUUCUGUCUCCUUGUAUUUCUAACAAAAUUAAGCCAAUUAAAAAAAAUAUCAAAAUUGGUUCGUGCAUUAUGAUUAUUUUAUCUCAAUGAUUAAUAAAUUAAUUAAAAGAUUGAAUAAUGAAUAUGUAAUGUGCAGGUGAUCCGAAAAAAAUAAACCACUUGGUUGGCCUCGACGGUGCUAAGGAGAGGCUGCACCUCUACAAGGCGAAUCUUCUCGAAGAAGGUUCCUUUAACUCUGUCGUUCAAGGUUGCCAUGCUGUGUUUCACACUGCUUCUCCCUUUUAUCACAAUGUCAAGGACCCCCAGGUUUCUCAUUUUUUUCCAUUUUUUUUUUAAUCUUUAACUACCCCUUUGAUUGCUACUGUUACAAAAACUUUGUCUUUUAGUCCCUACUACUCUUGAAACGUUAUCUUUUAAUCUUUGCACAACACCAUUUUUAUUCUCUUUUAGUUUUUACACGUAUCAUAUUAGUGCAUGCUUGGAUUAAAGUUUACAGACUUGAGUUUGCAAAAGCAACCCAAGCCUUGCCUUUGCAAAACAUAGUUUCCAGGCAAAACUCUAUUGUGCAAACGUACUUUUGAAGGUAAUCAAACAUGUCAUGUCACCGAGGUCCUCUCCAAAAUUACGUUUACACAAAAGUACCUUUUGAACGGGUUCGCCAAACAUGCCCUUAAUCAUGUUUGCCCCUACAACGAGGACUAAAAGUCUAAAAGGAUUGAAAUGUUAUGUGUAGAGUCUAAGAAGGGGGUGUUUCUAAGUAAAGUGACUAAAAGGGAAAAAUCUUUUUCAUAUGGGGUGGCUGUAUUUUUAUAUUUGUAUUUUUAAUUGCAGGCUGAAUUGUUAGACCCAGCUUUGAAGGGGACUCUCAAUGUUCUGAAAUCGUGUGUAAACUUGCCGACGCUGGAACGCGUUGUUUUAACCUCUUCUGUUGCUGCAGUUGCGUACAACGGAAAGCCUCGAACUCCCGAUGUAGUAGUUGAUGAGACUUGGUUUUCUGACCCGGGUUUCUGUAGGGAAUCACAGGUAUUCUGAUAAACUUUCACUUUAGUCCAAGGUUUUUUAAAUUGAUAUUGCGAAAUAUUGUGGACAAAUGCAACUAAACAAGGUGGCUCGGACAGUUAGAGAGUAGUGUAAG